CCGCGAGAUUGCGGAGGUGCAUCUGUUGUUCCCGGCGAUUGUAAGACAUCUUCUGUUUCUCAUCGUGGAGGCUGCAGGCAAGAUGGUUUGCAAUGUAUGGAUACAUAUGCAGAGGCUACUGAGACAUUUGUGUUGUAUCUAGAGGAGAGGAACAAGAAAAGGCUUAAUCAGUUGGUUCAAGUACUAGAGACUAGAGAGAGUUUAUUGAAGAAGCAGCAUACUAAAACAGCGUCUAAGUUCUUAGUAUGCUUCUAAACUUGUCUCUGAGGGCAUCGAAGAUGCAACCGCAGGCUUCUCUAUCAACUUAUGGAAAUUCAAGAAUCAUGGCAUGGCAUGUCUCCCAGAUUGCAAAUCACCCAUCUUCACCAUCCCUUGUUCAAAAGCUCUGAAGAACUCAGCUUGGUCCUCAC
Capsella rubella is the source of this 410-nucleotide long non-coding RNA. RefSeq lists it as uncharacterized. The record is from RefSeq and is a predicted model, not a curated record. The transcript has 4 exons. NCBI's taxonomy places the organism in Eukaryota, Viridiplantae, Streptophyta, Magnoliopsida, Brassicales, Brassicaceae.